Long non-coding RNA from Tripterygium wilfordii, 2209 nucleotides. RefSeq lists it as uncharacterized. Lineage: Eukaryota; Viridiplantae; Streptophyta; Magnoliopsida; Celastrales; Celastraceae. The transcript is spliced from 2 exons. The record is from RefSeq and is a predicted model, not a curated record.
CUCUCUCUCUCUCUCUCUCUCUCUGCAUAUUGCAUGGGUGAUACUGUUUGGCGUGACGAUAUUCAAUUUUUUGUAUCACCUUUGGUUUGGACCACUUUUUUUUUUUUUUUUUUUCAAUUUUUAUUUGUGAAUUCCCUUUCAACCCUUGUUUGCUCUCCUAUUUAUACUACCCUUUAUCCUCUCUUCCUUCCCUGUGUGGAGAAGAAGAAGCACUAAAAUAGGGUGUUUUUUUUUUAUAUCUAGGGUUUGUAGUAUGUUCAUUCUCUUAUCGUGCACCGGCAUCGGUUGAAGCUGCCAGCAUGAUCUUAACCUUCCUCUUCUUUAUAUGUUGGGGAAAGAUCAGAUCAUGUGGCAGUUUCACCUGUUGUUUGUUGUCACGAAAACCCUAAUUUGAAUUCUUCAGAAUAAACCCUAAAUUUCUCUUCUUUUUUUUUAUUAGGGUUUUCCAUUGCUCAAUCCCAAUAUAAGGGUUUAGAGUGACAGGGAUUUUGUGUCUCGGUGGAGAUCAACAAUUUCAAGGGUCCUUCAGGUGCUUUGGUGAGUGAGCCACUGAGCCUCAUCAAUAAUAUUAAUUCCCUUAAUCCACCGUACAAAUUAACCAAUUUUGUUAAUUAAUUAGGUAAUUAAUUGUUCUGUAUAUGUAAUUCCCUUAUGUUCUCUCUUGUUUUCUGGGUUUUGCAGUAUCAGGUACAAUCAUAUCAGAAUUCUUUUUAGGGUUUCAGUGAAUGUCUAUUCACCUAGUGUACAUACAUAUAUAUUUGAGAAUUGAUGCAUAUUGUGUGAGAAUAUAUAUAUAAUGUGUGUGUGUGUGCUAUCUACGGUUUGUGUGGAACUGGUUUCCUUUUUAUAUCCCUCGUAUUUGAACAAGAAAUUCAAAAUUGAGACAGAUCUUGCCAUGUAAGCCUUAAUUUUUGCAUAUCCUCUCUUCUCCUGGUUUUUUUUUUUUUUUUGAAAAAUGUGAACUACAGGUUGUUAGAAGGCCCUUUUAGUUUAAAGACUUGAACUUUACUUUCUUACUUUGUUUUAGGAUUUUAACCACUUGAGAGGUAGUUACAUGAUUCAACAACGAAGCUGAAAGAGAGAGAGAGAGUGUGUGUGUGUUCAUGUGAGGUUGGAUUGAUGAUGUAAUAUUAUGUACAGAGUAAUUGAGCUGUGGUCAGUGUGUGUGUGUAUGUAUAUAUAUGUAUAUGCAUAUAUAUAUAUAUAUAUAUAUAACCUGAUGAUGCAUGUGUUGGACAAUCUUAUGUAAUAGGAUUCAUGUGAAGGUGAAAUCAUGGAGUAGUAUUCAUGAAAAUAGCAUUAUGAAGAAAAUGCUUCAAAUAUGGGGAAUCUUGGAUGACCAUUACAGUGGAAUAGUAAGCUUGUCUUAUUUCAAGAUCUCUCUAGCUAUAUAUACACAAACCCAUAUAUGCCUUUAUGUUCUUACAUCAGUACAAUUUUGACUUUUCUAUAUUUCCACCAAUCUGAAGUACAAUGAAGAAGAUAUCAUAUGCUAGUGUUUGAGAGAGGUAGAUAUUACUCACACACACACACCAAAUGUGUGCAUAUAUUAGCUUUUCCUAAAAAAAAUUAGUAGUUAAUAUCUUGUAAUUCUUGAAAAUUAUUCAGGUUUUUGGAUCAUCCCUCUCUGUUAACCUCUUGAUAAGUUGUUGGGUGUCAGUUUAGAAAUUCGAACCUCGAGAUAGUUUAGUUAGUUAUUUUUUUGGACUUAGGGCAUACGCCCCUGAGGUCAGGAGUUCGAACCAAUCAGCUGGGAUAUUCUUUGUGAGAUUAUGGUUCCGUGGGCUUGUCGCAAUUCCAUGCCCUUUCUCGCAUGGGGUUCAGUCUAGUCUUAUUUAUCGUCAGCGUGGUGAGAGUUAUUCUAACGACUCGAGAUUUAUGCCCACUCAACUGUCCUAAUGACAUGUUCCAUCAGAAAGAAUUAAUGGAGAACUUGCGUCUUCUGGCCGAGUUGGAAGGAAUGGAGAACAUAAUUUAAAUUUUUUUAGAUGAUAUUGUAUGAUCUCUUAAAAUUUCUUUCAAUUUAAUUAACCUAAAGGUGGUAGGUAGUUACCAUUUCUUGGUUUUUCUCUGCACAAAUAAUUAUAUCAUUAAUUGUUGUAUUGUAUUGUAUGUGAAUAUAGAUGGAUUUUGUUGGAGAUUGGGCCCUCUAUAUAUCUCAUUUGGUAUGUUUAUGCAAGUGUGAAAGAUUCCACAUUGCUUUCAUUUU